AAAAUAUUUUUUUUGCUGGCUGCAUAAAAUCAAAACUUGAUGGAUAUCGAUUCUUGACUCCUCCACAUUUAUUAUUUAAAAUAACUUUAAUAAUACAUGGAAACAUAACUCGCAGAAGAAUAAAAAAGAAAUACAAAUGAUAACAACUUAGCUGUAAGGAGAGGAAAGUGGCAUGGGGAAGAUUUUUACAAAUGCGGAGAUUUCAGCGACGAUCAAAAGAAGUCUCGAGUCAAUUUUCUCCAAAAUUCGGAGCUUCGUGCAAGCUUUUACGAUGAAAGUAGAAGCAAACAAAUCUCCAAAUGUGUAGAGGAUGCUUUCCUUUCUCGGGAAACAAGCCCUUAGUCGUCACGCGUAGGCAAGGUAAACUCUAGCCACGUCCCAAGGCUACUCCCUUGCUGUCAACUCCAUGAUGCUUUGCGCGCAGACUCACAUUUUCCAAUAUGGCCGACGCUUCAUGCUGACUUCAAGUAGCCUGGCAGAUCCUUCACUAAUAUCUCCGUUUCUCCAAAAAUACUGUUUAUUUCACCAGCGAUCAAAUAAAAGUGUGCUUUGAAAAGUUUUCAGUAGUUUUUUUUAGUAGGUUUCGCUGCUUACAUCAGAAAAAUUCGAUUUGUCAGUUUUGGAGUAGAUGGAGAAUUCGGAAGCCUCUAAAAACUCUUCCCUGAAGCCCAAAAGCGUACCCGUUUGGCCGAGACGAGCUAGUAGAAAGAAUGCAGCUAGUUGGCAAGAGCUUGAUAACAUGAGUACGCUGAAAGGAGACGAUGAAUUUCCACGCUAACAACUUUAAGAAACAAAACUAAAGACCAUAAUGGCUAUAGGUUUUAAACUCCUACAGGACAGUUUUUAGAUCAACAACAGGACUGCUAUGCUAUUUGAUGAUAUUGCUCUGGUUCUUAGAAAUCAACUACAUGACAUUAAAGCGGCCUAUCCUUCUCUGAAAAAGAAACGUUCAGGGAAAGACCCAAUUUCAAGCUGCCAGUCAUAGGCAGUUUCAUCUGGAUUCCAUAUCUAGUCUUAGUAAAAAAAAACACACACAAAAGACAGGCAUCUGUCGCACAAUUUUUGCUAUCUUUAAUAAAAUCUUAAAAAAGACAUCUAAAGUUCAAUGCUUGAUAAACUAUAUGAAAAGAGAACUUAUCUUAUUGCAAAGGAUGCUGUUAGUUGACAAUGGAAAAGGUGUAACAAUAAAGUAAAAACAUAGAAUGGUGAAUUUUUUUCACAUACAGUUUUUUUCAUGAGGAAGCUUCAAAAUAACGAUCUACAAAUGAAGUCUGAUAUGUUAUUGACAAUAUUUGAAUAAAAAUAUUUUGGUAACU
Long non-coding RNA from Nematostella vectensis (starlet sea anemone), 1316 nucleotides. RefSeq lists it as uncharacterized. The record is from RefSeq and is a predicted model, not a curated record. The transcript is spliced from 2 exons. NCBI's taxonomy places the organism in Eukaryota, Metazoa, Cnidaria, Anthozoa, Actiniaria, Edwardsiidae.